RNAcentral lists this long non-coding RNA (246 nucleotides) under Cricetulus griseus (Chinese hamster). RNAcentral describes it as "lncRNA (ENSCGRG00000025783.1)". The record is from RNAcentral. Lineage: Eukaryota; Metazoa; Chordata; Mammalia; Rodentia; Cricetidae.
GAGGCUGUACUGCUCAUGCUAGACCUGUGCGCGGUCAGCAACGCUGCACUGGCCAGGGUCCUCCGGCAGCUCUCAGACGUGGCCCGACACGCGUGCAGCCUCUUCCAGGAGCUCGAGAGCGACAUCCAGCUUACUCACCGCCGCGUCUGGGCACUUCAGGGCAAGCUCGGCAGCGUGCAGCGCGUCCUCAGCACGUUGGACCCCAAGCAGGAGGCAGUGCACUCCUCUCAAGGUAUUCCAGGGUAA